Non-coding RNA from Pelobates cultripes (western spadefoot toad), 160 nucleotides. The record is from the annotation of a GenBank genome assembly. NCBI's taxonomy places the organism in Eukaryota, Metazoa, Chordata, Amphibia, Anura, Pelobatidae.
CCCAGGAACUACUAAUGUGGUACAGCCGGGACGCAAAGCUUUGGCGAAAAGCAAACACAUUGCCUCCCCUCCAGAACUGCAGGUUCUGGAGGGGAGGCAAUAUGUUUGCUUUUCGCCAGUGCUUUGCGUCCCGGCUGUACCACAUUAGUAGUUCCUCGCC